RNAcentral lists this ribosomal RNA (253 nucleotides) under uncultured bacterium. Its description in RNAcentral is "partial 16S ribosomal RNA". It matches the Rfam family "Bacterial small subunit ribosomal RNA", at positions 524 to 776 of the family's 1533-position model. The record is from RNAcentral.
UACGUAGGCAGCAAGCGUUGUUCGGAAUUACUGGGCGUAAAGAGUGUGUAGGCGGUGCUCUAAGUUCGGUGUGAAAUCUCCCGGCUCAACUGGGAGGGUGCGCCGAAAACUGGAGUGCUGGAGCGCGGGAGAGGAAAGCGGAAUUCCUGGUGUAGCGGUGAAAUGCGUAGAUAUCAGGAGGAACACCAGAGGCGAAGGCGGCCACCUGGACGGACACUGACGCUGAGACGCGAAAGCGUGGGGAGCAAACAGG